CACGAAGAACGCCUUGAAUGUCAUAGCGAGCACCACACCAGCUAGCUCGUAGUAUCUUUCCGGUAAUAUCUAACUCAAGUUUUGCUCGUUCUUCAGCAGAAGCUUGGUCCUCUCCUUUGUCUUCAAGCUUUUGCAUUUGGUCAAUACUAUGCGUGUUAAUCAUGUCCAUAACGAUCAUUAAUUUCACUUACCUAAGCUUAGCAUCCAUAGCCGCAGAGACUGUAUCCCACGUAGCACGAGCAAUUUUGCCCUUUUCCUUCAUUCGACUCCAAAAUCCUCCAAUACCGAAUUUACUAGAUUUGAGGACUGUUCGACCUUUCUGAGUAUAAACUUCACCUAUAGCAUGUAAAAUUUCAACCCCAAAGGACUCGAUGCGAAGAGUAUUAGCUUCUUGGGUAUACUUUUCACGUAGAGCAUUAAGUCCUUCUUCGGUAGUAGCCUUGGCGAUCCAAUCAUCUAAGCGUUUUUCCAAAUUUUCCGUUACUUCUUUAAUCCUUUGACGGCGAUCUUCAAUCAUCUCUUGUUCUCUUUUGGCCAAAGCUUCGCGUUCACGAAUCUGAGCAUUUUUUUUUCGAUCGUUAAAUUGCUGUUUAAUUGUGGGUGUGGGUUCCGAUGACUCAAGUAAAAGCUGUUGCUUGUCAUUCAUUUGGCCUUGUUCGACAGCCGAAUCUUCUUCUCGGAACAUUUCCUUUACAAACGAUAAUUCACCGACCCAUUCUCGAAAAGGCGCGCCUCCAAAGAGGUUUGUAAAAAAAUCGUAAGCAUCGGUGAAACCUUGUUCAGGAACAGCUUUUUCCUUUCCAAAUUGAUCAUACUGGGAUCGCAGUUUUUCGUCUCCCAAUACUUGAUAAGCUUCACUUAUCUAACAGGCA
Molecule: non-coding RNA, 872 nt
Organism: Schizosaccharomyces pombe (fission yeast)
Lineage: Eukaryota; Fungi; Ascomycota; Schizosaccharomycetes; Schizosaccharomycetales; Schizosaccharomycetaceae
Source: the annotation of a GenBank genome assembly